RNAcentral lists this long non-coding RNA (1960 nucleotides) under Pelobates cultripes (western spadefoot toad). Lineage: Eukaryota; Metazoa; Chordata; Amphibia; Anura; Pelobatidae. The record is from RNAcentral.
CUGACAAUGGAAAGAUAAGCUUUUGCAUACGUCUGGAAAAGAAUAUCCUUAAAAUCGGAAUGGGCAAGACAUCCUGAAAUUUAGCAUUGUCUUACAUCCUAUAGAAGAAAUACCUUAGUCUGUCACAGUCAGCAUAUGAUUGUCGUAUAUUGACUUUAAGUAUUCAAUAUCCCUUCAGUCAGCAAUAAUCAUGUUAUAAACCUUAUAAAAGCAUAAAAUACAUAUAAACAAGUUAACUAUUUAAUAUUCUUACAUUCCCCUCUUUGAGCAAUAAAACAAUUGCUCAUCUUAUCGAUAAAAUCUUACCAGGACAGAGAAACUUCCACAUGGUAUUUUCAGGGGUGCUAGUCACUCCCUGCGGGACUUUCAUUAAUUUCUUCACCUCGAUUCCCAUGUGGUAAUUCCUAAGGCUCAGUUUAAAGAUGGGUUGAUACUCUACAGUGGCAGAGAGGAGAAUUUUUAAUUGUUUCUGUUCUGCAUUAUGGAUUCAUUUCUGUACUCACUUCCUCAAUGUACAAGUAAGGUGACAGUUAUAUAAAAUCAUACACAAUAAAAUCAGGACUAUAAUAACAAAAGGAUAGAAGAAUGAUUUCAUUAUCUGGGAUCCAGUAGGGGACCAACCAGUAAAGCAUUGUACCAAUGAUGGGCUGAAUCAUUCUGAAUUUGUGAACUCACCUUAAGGAGUUCUCCUUUUAGGAUAUGUGUGGCUACCUGUGUGUGUUAUCUUUGGGAAAAAUAUAGUCCCCUGUGUAUGUGGGUGCCCACCAGGUUAAAUUCUUGGCAAAAAGAUCAUAAACUGGUACUGGUAAUGUGUUAAAUUGACAAGCUAAUUUAACAUCCUUUGAUGAUGUAUGAUAUAAUGUAAAAUAGCAUGAGCAUGAAAAAUGUGAAACAUUACCAGUUAACCAUCCAUUGCAUUUACUGGAUUGGGGUUUUAGAAGUAACCAUUCAUUAUCUGUGAGGUUACGCUUUCCUCUAAUCUUCUCUAGUUGAGGAAUCAUUAGUGUGUUUUCUAAUGCCAAUCCUUGUUGUUGUAUCCAUAAAUACCUGAUGGCACAAGUACUCCAGUUACUUAGACCUGUAGUGAAUUUCAUAGUUGCAACAGUUAAAUUAUCUAAAUAAUUAUACAUUGAUUUAUCUAAAUCCAAUCCUCUAACCUGUGAUUUAACAACUAUUGGAGCCCAAUUUGCAGUAGCAUGAAAACCAGUCCCUAUAUGCAUGCUGGCUGUGUUUAACUUAUUCUUGAGGGUCUCCAUAUCUAUAACUAUUUAGUAUACCCAUAGUGGUUCCAGCACCUCCUAACAGUGUGUCAUACCAUUCCCUUUUCUGCCUUUGUUUGUUGUAUUACAUAAUGUUACAACAAGAGUAGUGACUUUUAAUGACACAUGUACAGCUUGUAAGAAGGCAGUUGUAUUAACACAUGUGGACGGAAUAGGUGUGUCUGUGUCGUGUUUGACUUUUGGUUCUAUGGUAGAGGAUAAAGGACAGUAAGGUGUAAAAAUAUAAGGUAGUGUAUAGUUCUCAAUUGCAGUGUCGUUCAUAAUGACUAACAUUUGUCCCCUUCUCCGAUUAAUGAUACCAGUUAUAUAAUCAUUAUUAAAAGUAAUAAGGCCUGUCUAUUUACAUUGAUAUGCAACCUUAACUGUGCACAUUUCUGCCUUAUAAGAUCUAACAAUUUUCUGUGAACCUUCAAACAAACAUAAUGCAUCGGCUUCAUUAGCUGUAGACACAUUUCAUAUGGGUAACUGGUACUUAUAAGGGUUACUAUUUGUCCAAUUCAUCCAAAUGCGUUCAUUGAAUGAAUGAUUGCAUAUUGCAUGCUGAUAGAAAGGUGGUGGAGAAAGGUUCUUGAGGGGGCGUGUGUGACGAAUGCUAGAUGAGGGGCUAAGGCCUAAUUGGGCUGGGGGUAUUGAAGAAUUGUUCAUCAUGUCAGAGUCUUUUUCCAGAACUUGCCAUUGAC